GAUGAAUGCUGGCGGCGUGCCUAACACAUGCCAGUCGAGCGGCAGCGAGGGGUGCUUGCACCCUUUCGGCGAGCGGCGAACGGCUGAGUAACGCGUAGGAAUUUGCCCCAAAGUGAGGAAUAACUGCCCGAAAGGGUAGCUAAUGCCGCAUAUGGUCUUCGGAUUAAAGGAUUUAUCCGCUUUGGGAGAAGCCUGCGUUGGAUUAGGUUGUUGGUAGGGUAAUGGCCUACCAAGCCGACGAUCCAUAGCUGGUCUGAGAGGAUGAUCAGCCAGACUGGAACUGAGACACGGUCCAGAUUCCUACGGGAGGCAGCAGUGAGGAAUCUUCCACAAUGGGCGAAAGCCUGAUGGAGCAACGCCGCGUGAAGGAUGAAGGCCUUCGGGUUGUAAACUUCUUUUAUGAGUGAAGAAUAUGACGGUAACUCAUGAAUAAGCACCGGCUAACUACGUG
This 451-nucleotide ribosomal RNA is filed under the name uncultured bacterium. Its description in RNAcentral is "partial 16S ribosomal RNA". It matches the Rfam family "Bacterial small subunit ribosomal RNA", at positions 28 to 507 of the family's 1533-position model. The record is from RNAcentral.